This 1122-nucleotide unclassified non-coding RNA is filed under the name Hevea brasiliensis (rubber tree). Lineage: Eukaryota; Viridiplantae; Streptophyta; Magnoliopsida; Malpighiales; Euphorbiaceae. The record is from RNAcentral.
UUCUGAUUGCUCUCUAUCAAAAUACUGUUUUGUGCUCCCUUCAAACCCCUUUCUCUGCAAGCCAAACAACCCCUUUCUCUGCAAGCCAAACAACAAAUCCCACUCUCACAAAAAUCCUUCCUUCUCUUUCUCUCUCGACAAUCCCUCCCUCGAUUCUUGCUUUUCUGCGAUCCUGUCCCCUCCUCUCUCCCUCAAAUGCCCUUCCAUUGCCGCUUUAUUGCCCUUUUCUCCAUUGCACCAUGAGCUGUACGAUUGAAUUCCUAAUUCAGUCAUACUCUCAGAGCCUUUCUUUGCUCAAUCCUGCUACAAUUUCUGGCUCUUCUCCUAUUGCUAGACACUGAGAAAUGAAGGUGAUUUUGUUGCCGCAUCUAGCAAGAGUUUGAAACAUUUGACGACCUGAUUCCAGGUUCUCCUAUACUCAGGAAAUCAAGGCUCUUCUCCUAUUGCUAGACUCUGGGAAAUCAAGAUGAUUUUGUUGCCGCAUCUAACAAGAGUUUUGAAACGUUUGAUGACCUGAUUCCAGGUUCUCCUCAAAUUGCUAUACUCAGGAAUUCAAGGUGAUUUUGUUGCUACAUCUAGCAACAGUUUGAAAUAUUUGACUAUACAAGCAACUCUUUAUUUGUUCUAGGAGUUCUUGAUGGAGCUCAAGGUUUCAUCACUAAAGUCAGGAGGUCUUUCUCCUCCUGAUUGCUCUAGUGAUCCUGAGGAGAAGGAAGUCAGUGAUGAGGAUGAUGAUGAUCGCAAUCAUAAACAUCGAAGAAGAGAGACACGUUCUCAAUCUUUGGAGAGAGGUUCACUGGAACCUGUUUUUACAAGGUCAUACAGGAAGCACUACAAACCAUUUGAAAAUGGGCAUCCUUUCAGGGAGAAUGAAUCUCAAGGGAGUGAAACCUGGAAAAACUAUAACGCUGUUCCUCUGGAUAAAGACUUCACCUCAAAAUUUGAAAAGAGACGGCCUGGAAUGGCAUCAUUACCCCGAGUGGGUAUGGAUUUGAAUCAAAGAAUAAGGUCAAACCAAACAUUUUCCGGAGAGCAUGGUCCUGGUAGAGGAAGAGGAAGGGACCCUGGUUCUUGGAACCAGCGUGAUUCUAGGUUCAGCUCAGUUGAUAUUGCUUCUCAAAU